UAUGCAUGUUUCCUGACAGGACUUUUACGGGCUUUUCCCAAAUCACGGAAGAAACGUCGACGCAGUGGUAUAGUAGCAGAUGCAGAGGCAAGUGCUAUU
This is a long non-coding RNA of Alosa sapidissima (American shad), 99 nucleotides long. RefSeq lists it as uncharacterized. The record is from RefSeq and is a predicted model, not a curated record. The transcript has 3 exons. Lineage: Eukaryota; Metazoa; Chordata; Actinopteri; Clupeiformes; Clupeidae.